RNAcentral lists this long non-coding RNA (4814 nucleotides) under Triticum aestivum (bread wheat). RNAcentral's name for it is "long non-coding RNA (TAES_LNC026687)". Lineage: Eukaryota; Viridiplantae; Streptophyta; Magnoliopsida; Poales; Poaceae. The record is from RNAcentral.
UUGGCAAUGCUUUCUUUCACUUGAUUAUGUAUGAUACAAGGCGAAAGCAGCUUGUGCUAAAUUACAAGAAACUGCACAAACAGACUGGUAAAGGUGAAACCAUCUACCAGCAAAAGCUGGAGGGAGGGAUUGAUGGGAUGAACUAGCUAAUCCUAACGACUAGUAGCUAGUACCUGACGAGGGUGGUGGUGGUGGUAGUAAUCCAUAGGGGCGUUGUCCCUGUGACUGUGAUCUGGGGCAGCAGCUUCGUGGGGGCGCGGCGUGUAGGCGUCGUCGGCGACCUUGUUGUGCCAUGCGGGGUGCCUCGGCGGCGUCUCGCUGCCAGCCUUGUCUUGCAAGUAGGCGGCGUCGGUGUGGUCGGCUUUCGGCGCGCCUUCGUGGUAGGCCUCGUGGGCGACUGCGGGCGGCUGUUCCUGUUGGUACACCGGUGCCGGCACCGGCGCUGACCAGUAGCCGCCCCCUCUGCUGCGGGCGCGGCCGCCGUAGUCGUCCGGCCUGCGGCCCGAAGCACGAGCCGAACUCCAAGCACAUUCUAUAGGUGGCGAGUGGUGACUGGCGCCGGGUGCUUCUUUUUGUUCACUUCGUGCGUGAUGGGCUACUGGUAGUGGGAAGCAGCACUAUCCUGGAAGUAGCUGCUGGGGAUGGGUAUCAGUGCCAGUGGUGGCGUGGAUGAACCUGAAACUGACAGUGUUGGUGUGGUGGGUGAGGGUGAUAUAUAUUCGGGGCCGAGAAGAGAGCUCGUGCUGGGCGCGACGUGUGCAUACGAAGCCAAGCGAGCCGAAAGCUCCGUAUGAAAAGGGGGUGGGUGGGUUUAGGUCCCGAUCGAUCAGGCUCAUCGUCGACACGUCUCCGCGCCCUCUCAUGUCGCUGUUUAGGUCCGGGUCGAUCAGUUUCGUCCAACUUGCCGGACUCCGGUCUCCACGGCCGGUCAACCGUGCGAAUCAUGGAGGGAGGGCAAAUCGUUUCCUCUGGAGGACCAAGGAAAGGAUGAACUGGCGUUUACUAUCGUUUUGGGGGCUGUGGAUAAUAAUAGUUCUUGUUGGAAUGUUGGACUGGCCGGUCGGCGUACCGUGUUUCCGUUUCAAGCUUUCAACACGGCGCGCCUGGGGCAGGCAACAACGACGUUGGACUCUUCAUUAACUGAUUUGCACGAAAUAUGCCGCUCACUAGAUUCUUUUACACGUAGAAAAUAGACAAUUUUGCGUGAAAAUACAAAUAAAUACUUUCUCUGGUGGCGGAAUCGAAUCCGGGCCGAGUGUUGUUAAGCUUAAGUUAAUGAUUUGGGGGAGGGGAGAGGUCCCUGCUAGUUCCCCGGUCCUGUUAUCUACUCAAAUUGGGUAAUCUAUUUUGGAACGGAGAGUUAGUAUAAAGUUGGGUCAUCUAUUUUGAAACGGCGGGAGUAAAAGGCAACCUUAGAAAUGUUUAGGGUGUGUUUGACAACCGUUUCAAUGCAGCCUGGCUCAACGAAGCCUGACUCAUACUCAUCGGAGGCUGGUUGAGGAAAUACAGGCGAAAAACUAACACAUGCACAUUGUUUGGUUGCCCGCAUCUAGGUCUCUCGUGUUAGGGGAGUAAUUUUGGCAUAGUGUUUAGUUUCCUGCAUUGGCUCGGCUCAUGAAACUACAUGGUGUUUGGUUGUAUACGCAACAUAGGAUUAAGAGUUAACACUUACACUUAACACACGCAGUUACACCAUGCCUCACGACUACGGUGGACGGUUCCCGCGGCGCCACGUCCGACACGACGGGCACGGAGUCUCGGGCGAGCGUUCCUGCUGGCGCAACGGUGAACUGGUUGCUAGCGUCGCGUCGCCACCGCUGAGAAAGUCCACGCGGAGGAGCAUAGAGGCAGAGGACAGGGGAGAAGAAAUGCAGUGUGUGUCAGACCAGGACGACUGCGGUGGAUGGUGACCACGACGCCGCGUCCGACAUGACGAGCAUGGAGUCUCGGCCUCUCCGGCGAGCAAUCCUGCCGAUGCCACGGCACACUAGUUGCUAGCGUCGUCGUCGCAGACAAAGUCCGUGUGGAGGAGCGCUAAGGCAUAUGACGGGGGAGAAGAAAUGCAAUAUGCGCGUAAUGCAUCGUCACCGCGGUAGGAUCUUGAAAAAGAAACUUGCAACAUGAAUAUCAUGAGGAACUGCAAGAUUAGGCUACUGGCCAAAGAAAAUUUCAAACAGUCGAUCGUGCGCGACGAAUCUGACAAAAUUCAUCCAAAAUAGCUUCUAAUGUGAACACAAAAUUGAGCAUUUACGGUCGACGAAACUACGAACAAAUCCCCUGAAUGAAACCGUAACAUCGAUGUGCAUCUUUCUCAUGUAGAGCUUAUCUUGAAUCGAAGCACCGUUGUGUUGAUUAGAGAGGAGAAGAAAGAAAGGAGAUUAGGAAGUAGUUUAGUGGAGGCAAAAGAAGAAACACGUACACAGCUUGCAUCCUCGUGCAAGGGGCCCACACAUGUGUGCUCGCUGUGCAUUGCUCGGGCCUAGCUCUCCAAAACUGCCGAUUCAGGCGUUGGGACUGGCUCGGAGGUGCUUUAAAAUUUAUGCCAUGCACGCCGAAUAGUAUAUGCAAGCAACUUAUCAACCCGUUUCCUUACCUAGCUGGCCUGGUUGGGCCUUAUACGGGCAACCAAACACACCAAUAAUGCCUCGUCUCUGCACUCAAGUACACAACUCAAACACGUGAAGUUGAAACACAUACAUCAACGUGGAGGUCCGCAGACGGAAUGGCCCGGGCGAUGGUCUGUGCCCUCUCUAUGGGAUAUCUAAGGAUUACAACAACAUCUUCUUCACAUGCGUUGCAGCCCAGUUUCUUUGGAGCUGCUUCCGGGAGGCCGUGGGUGGGAAUUGGUGCCACUCCAACUUCCCGGAUCUCUUCAACGAGAUCCAGGCCUCCUCCCGGUCCAAUCGCCACAUUAGGUGGCUUGAGAUUGGUGUCCUAGCUUGUGUUGGGGAACGUAGUAAUUUCAAAAUUUUCCUACGCACACGCAAGAUCAUGGUGAUGCAUAGCAACGAGAGGGGAGAGUGUUGUCUACGUACCCUCGUAGACCGAAAGCGGAAGCGUUAUGACAACGCGGUUGAUGUAGUCGUAUGUCUUCACGAUCCGACUGAUCCAAGUACCGAACGUACGGCACCUCCGAGUUCAGCACACGUUCAGCUCGAUGAAGAUCUCCGGACUCCGAUCCAGCAGGGUGUCGGGGAUGAGUUCCGUCAGCACGACGGUGUCGUGACGAUGAUGAUGUUCUAGCAACGCAGGGCUUUGCCUAAGCACCGCUACGAUAUGUCCGAGAUGGAAUAUGAUGGAGGGGGGCACCGCGCACGGCUAAGGAAUGAUCAUGAAGAUCAACUUGUGUGUCUAGAGGUGCCCCCUGCCCCCGUAUAUAAAGGAGCAAUGGGGGAGGCCGGCCUACCCUAGGGGUGCGCCAAGGAGGGGGGAGUCCUCCUCCUAGUGGGAGUAGGACUCCCCUUUCCUAGUCCAACUAGGAAGGAGGAAGGGGGAAGGAAAGAGAGGGAGAGGGAGAGGGAAAGAGGAGCCGCGCCCCCUCCCCUAGUCCAAUUCGGACUCCUCAUGGGAGGGGGCGCGCCACCUCCUGGGCUGCUGCCCUCUCUCUCCCCUCAGGCCCACUAAGGCCCAAUACUUCCCCGGGGGGUUCCGGUAAGCCCUCCGGCACUCCGGUUUUCUACGAAAUCACCCGGAACACUUUCGGUGUCCGAAUAUAGUCGUCCAAUAUAUCAAUCUUUAUGUCUCGACCAUUUUGAGACUCCUCGUCAUGUUCGUGAUCACAUUCGGGACUCCGAACAACCUUCGGUACAUCACAACUUAUAAACUCAUAAUAAAACUGUCAUCGUAACGUUAAGCGUGCGGACCCUACGGGUUCGAGAACUAUGUAGACAUGACCUAGAACUGUUUCCGGUCAAUAACCAAUAGCGGAACCUGGAUGCUCAUAUUGGCUCCUACAUAUUCUACGAAGAUCUUUAUCGGUCAAAACAUACGUUAUUCCCUUUGUCACCGGUAUGUUACUUGCCCGAGAUUUGAUCGUCGGUAUCCAAUACCUAGUUCAAUCUCGUUAUCGGCAAGUCUCUUUACUCGUUACGUAAUGCAUCAUUCCGUAACUAACUCAUUAGCUACAUUGCUUGCAAGGCUUAUAGUGAUGUGCAUUACCGAGAGGGCCCAGAGAUACCUCUCCGACAAUCGGAGUGACAAAACCUAAUCUCGAAAUACGUCAACUCAACAUGUACCUUUGGAGACACCUGUAGAGCUCCUUUAUAAUCAUCCAGUUACGUUGUGACGUUUGGUAGCACACAAAGUGUUCCUCCGGUAAACGGGAGUUGCAUAAUCUCAUAGUUGUAGGAACUUUUGUAUAAGUCAUGAAGAAAGCAAUAGCAACAUACUAAACGAUCAAGUGCUAGGCUAACGGAAUGAGUCAAGUCAAUCACAUCAUUCUCCUAAUGAUGUGAUCCCGUUAAUCAAAUGACAACACAUGUCUAUGGUUAGUAAACAUAACCAUCUUUGAUUAAUGAGCUAGUCAAGUAGAGGCAUACUAAUGACAUUAUGUUUGUCUAUGUAUUCACACAUGUAUAAUGUUUUCGGGUAAUACAAUUCUAGCAUGAAUAAUAAACAUUUAUCAUGAUAUGAGGGAAUAAAUAAUAACUUUAUUAUUGCCUCUAGGGCAUAUUUCCGCCGUAGUCGUCCCGCCUGCGGCCGCCGAAGCACGAGCCGAACUCCAAGCACAUUCUAUAGGUGGCGAGUGGUGACUGGCACCGGGUGCUUCUUUUUGUCUACUUCCUCCUGGAAGUAGCUGCUGGGGUGGGUAUCAG